RNAcentral lists this unclassified non-coding RNA (240 nucleotides) under soil metagenome. Its description in RNAcentral is "partial contains 5.8S ribosomal RNA, internal transcribed spacer 2, and large subunit ribosomal RNA". The record is from RNAcentral.
AACUGAUACUACCUGCGGGAACCUGCGGAAGGAUCAUCAUUGAAUAAUAUCUCAGGCCUUGGGGGAAUUUUCUUCUGAGGCUUGCAAACAACUUUGAUACCCAAAAAGAUAUUUUUCUUUGGUUUUUCAGCUUGGGCUCAUUUGUUUGGGUUUGGGUUGAUGGCUAGAGAAGAAGGGGUGAAGAGGGGAGACUCUCUAAGCUCUGGAAAUUAUAACAUGCGGUUGCCUGAUAAAAAGUGU